This 497-nucleotide ribosomal RNA is filed under the name uncultured bacterium. RNAcentral describes it as "partial 16S ribosomal RNA". It matches the Rfam family "Bacterial small subunit ribosomal RNA", at positions 28 to 507 of the family's 1533-position model. The record is from RNAcentral.
GAUGAACGCUGGCGGCGUGCCUAAUACAUGCAAGUAGAACGCUGAAGCUUGGUGCUUGCACCGAGCGGAUGAGUUGCGAACGGGUGAGUAACGCGUAGGUAACCUGCCUCUUAGCGGGGGAUAACUAUUGGAAACGAUAGCUAAUACCGCAUAAAAGUCGAUAUCGCAUGAUAUUGAUUUGAAAGGUGCAAAUGCAUCACUAAGAGAUGGACCUGCGUUGUAUUAGCUAGUUGGUGAGGUAACGGCUCACCAAGGCGACGAUACAUAGCCGACCUGAGAGGGUGGUCGGCCAAACUGGGACUGGGACACGGCCCAGACUCCUACGGGAGGCAGCAGUAGGGAAUCUUCGGCAAUGGGGGCAACCCUGACCGAGCAACGCCGCGUGAGUGAAGAAGGGUUUCGGAUCGUAAAGCUCUGUUGUAAGAGAAGAACGAGUGUGAGAGUGGAAAGUUCACACUGUGACGGUAACUUACCAGAAAGGGACGGCUAACUACGUG